CGUGUAGGCGGUCGGGCAAGUCAGAUGUGAAAGCCUUCCGCUCAACGGAAGAAGUGCAUUUGAAACUACCCGGCUGGAGUACGGGAGAGGAGAGUGGAAUUCCCGGUGUAGAGGUGAAAUUCGUAGAUAUCGGGAGGAACACCGGUGGCGAAGGCGGCUCUCUGGUCCGAUACUGACGCUGAGACGCGAAAGCGUGGGGAGCAAACAGGAUUAGAUACCCUGGUAGUCCACGCCGUAAACGAUGGGCACUAGGUGUAGGAGGUAUUGACCCCUUCUGUGCCGAAGCUAACGCAUUAAGUGCCCCGCCUGGGGAGUACGGCCGCAAGGCUAAA
This 332-nucleotide ribosomal RNA is filed under the name uncultured bacterium. Its description in RNAcentral is "bacterial SSU rRNA". It matches the Rfam family "Bacterial small subunit ribosomal RNA", at positions 568 to 898 of the family's 1533-position model. The record is from RNAcentral.